RNAcentral lists this ribosomal RNA (1486 nucleotides) under metagenome. RNAcentral describes it as "bacterial SSU rRNA". It matches the Rfam family "Bacterial small subunit ribosomal RNA". The record is from RNAcentral.
AGAGUUUGAUCCUGGCUCAGGAUGAACGCUAGCUACAGGCUUAACACAUGCAAGUCGAGGGGCAGCAUGGUCUUAGCUUGCUAAGACUGAUGGCGACCGGCGCACGGGUGAGUAACACGUAUCCAACCCGCCGUCUACUCUUGGACAGCCUUCUGAAAGGAAGAUUAAUACAAGAUGGCAUCAUGAGUCCGCAUGUUCACAUGAUUAAAGGUAUUCCGGUAGACGAUGGGGAUGCGUUCCAUUAGAUAGUAGGCGGGGUAACGGCCCACCUAGUCUUCGAUGGAUAGGGGUUCUGAGAGGAAGGUCCCCCACAUGGGAACUGAGACACGGUCCAAACUCCUACGGGAGGCAGCAGUGAGGAAUAUUGGUCAAUGGGCGAGAGCCUGAACCAGCCAAGUAGCGUGAAGGAUGACUGCCCUAUGGGUUGUAAACUUCUUUUAUAAAGGAAUAAAGUCGGGUAUGCAUACCCGUUUGCAUGUACUUUAUGAAUAAGGAUCGGCUAACUCCGUGCCAGCAGCCGCGGUAAUACGGAGGAUCCGAGCGUUAUCCGGAUUUAUUGGGUUUAAAGGGAGCGUAGAUGGAUGUUUAAGUCAGUUGUGAAAGUUUGCGGCUCAACCGUAAAAUUGCAGUUGAUACUGGAUAUCUUGAGUGCAGUUGAGGCAGGCGGAAUUCGUGGUGUAGCGGUGAAAUGCUUAGAUAUCACGAAGAACUCCGAUUGCGAAGGCAGCCUGCUAAGCUGCAACUGACAUUGAGGCUCGAAAGUGUGGGUAUCAAACAGGAUUAGAUAUCCUGGUAGUCCACACGGUAAACGAUGAAUACUCGCUGUUUGCGAUAUACGGCAAGCGGCCAAGCGAAAGCGUUAAGUAUUCCACCUGGGGAGUACGCCGGCAACGGUGAAACUCAAAGGAAUUGACGGGGGCCCGCACAAGCGGAGGAACAUGUGGUUUAAUUCGAUGAUACGCGAGGAACCUUACCCGGGCUUAAAUUGCAGAUGAAUUACGGUGAAAGCCGUAAGCCGCAAGGCAUCUGUGAAGGUGCUGCAUGGUUGUCGUCAGCUCGUGCCGUAAGGUGUCGGCUUAAGUGCCAUAACGAGCGCAACCCUUGUUGUCAGUUACUAACAGGUUCUGCUGAGGACUCUGACAAGACUGCCAUCGUAAGAUGUGAGGAGGGUGGGGAUGACGUCAAAUCAGCACGGCCCUUACGUCCGGGGCUACACACGUGUUACAAUGGGGGGUACAGAGGGCCGCUACCACGCGAGUGGAUGCCAAUCCCCAAAACCUCUCUCAGUUCGGACUGGAGUCUGCAACCCGACUCCACGAAGCUGGAUUCGCUAGUAAUCGCGCAUCAGCCACGGCGCGGUGAAUACGUUCCUGGGCCUUGUACACACCGCCCGUCAAGCCAUGGGAGCCGGGGGUACCUGAAGUGCGUAACCGCGAGGAGCGCCCUAGGGUAAAACUGGUGACUGGGGCUAAGUCGUAACAAGGUA